This 134-nucleotide non-coding RNA is filed under the name Platyophrya macrostoma. The record is from RNAcentral. Lineage: Eukaryota; Ciliophora; Colpodea; Cyrtolophosidida; Platyophryidae.
AAGAGAGAAAAAAAAAAAAAAAAAAAAAAAGGAGAACCGAUGUCAAUUCCCAUCUGCACAUAGCAAUUUAUGAAAUCGUGAAGGAGACGAUUUUACAUUUUCAUUGUUUAUUUUGUUCUCCUUCUUCUUCUUCC